UACAGAGGUCCCGAGCGUUGUUCGGAUUCAUUGGGCGUAAAGGGUGCGUAGGCGGCGGGGCCAGUCUGAUGUGAAAUCCCGGGGCUCAACCCCGGAACUGCAUUGGAUACUGCCUUGCUCGAGUACCGGAGAGGGAACUGGAAUUUACGGUGUAGCAGUGAAAUGCGUAGAGAUCGUAAGGAAGGCCAGUGGCGAAGGCGAGUUCCUGGACAGUUACUGACGCUGAGGCACGAAGGCCAGGGGAGCAAACGGG
Molecule: ribosomal RNA, 253 nt
Filed under: uncultured bacterium
Lineage: Bacteria
Description: partial 16S ribosomal RNA
Rfam family: Bacterial small subunit ribosomal RNA
Source: RNAcentral